UAAAGUAAAAAUAUAAGAUGAAAAAGGAGAAAUUUAAAAUAAAAAUAGAAAAUUACGAAAUUACUAGUUAUGGCCAACCAAUUGUUGAAUUGUUGAAAGUUAUUUAAUUUUUAUAUAAUUAUCAAGUUUCUUAAAUCCCUUACAGCUUACUUCUAGUGAGUCCAUCAGUGAUGUUAAAGAAACAAACAGGAACAGAUGUAUUUAUAAUUCCCCAAAUUUAUGUGUGUGUGUGUGCUGGCAGGAUGUGUGGCCUGUAGAUCUGAAGAAUCAUUCCACAGCCAUGCAAUGCAUGGUGACAGUGGUUUGGGAGACAAGGCCUGUAGCCAUUGUGUGAUGACAGGAUGUGUGGCCUGUAGAUCUGAAGAUUCUCUCCACAGCCAUGUAAUGCACAGUGAG
Anneissia japonica is the source of this 396-nucleotide long non-coding RNA. RefSeq lists it as uncharacterized. The record is from RefSeq and is a predicted model, not a curated record. Lineage: Eukaryota; Metazoa; Echinodermata; Crinoidea; Comatulida; Comatulidae. The transcript has 3 exons.